RNAcentral lists this ribosomal RNA (508 nucleotides) under uncultured Clostridium sp. RNAcentral describes it as "bacterial SSU rRNA". It matches the Rfam family "Bacterial small subunit ribosomal RNA", at positions 53 to 560 of the family's 1533-position model. Lineage: Bacteria; Bacillati; Bacillota; Clostridia; Eubacteriales; Clostridiaceae. The record is from RNAcentral.
ACAUGCAAGUCGAGCGAUGAAAUUUCGACAGAUCCCUUCGGGGUGAAGAUGAAAUGGAUUAGCGGCGGACGGGUGAGUAACACGUGAGUAACCUGCCUUAGACAUUGGGAUAGCCUCGGGAAACCGGGAUUAAUACCAAAUGAAAUCACAUAUGCACAUGCAUAAAUGAUCAAAGCUCCGGCGGUCUAAGAUGGACUCGCGUCCCAUUAGCUAGUUGGUGAGGUAACGGCCCACCAAAGCGACGAUGGGUAGCCGGCCUGAGAGGGUGAACGGCCACAUUGGAACUGAGAAACGGUCCAAACUCCUACGGGAGGCAGCAGUGGGGAAUAUUGCACAAUGGAGGGAACUCUGAUGCAGCGACGCCGCGUGAACGAAGAAGGCUUUCGAGUCGUAAAGUUCUUUUAUAUGGGAAGAUAAUGACGGUACCAUAAGAAAAAGCCCCGGCUAACUACGUGCCAGCAGCCGCGGUAAUACGUACGGGGCUAGCGUUGUACGGAAUCACUGGGCG